GGUGGAGAAGAACGGAGGAAGGCCACACUGUCUUUCCAGGACGUGAGAUAGCCGAUUAUGCAAGCGGUGGAUUGACUGUGUGUUGAGAAGGAAUUCUCUCCAGCCGUGGCGUGAUAUUGUUCCAACCAACUCUACGGUGGAGAAGAACGGAGGAAGGCCACACUGUCUUUCCAGGACGUGAGAUAGCCGAUUAUGCAAGCGGUGGAUUGACUGUGUGUUGAGAAGGAAUUCUCUCCAGCCGUGGCGUGAUAUUGUUCCAACCAACUCUACGGUGGAGAAGAACGGAGGAAGGCCACACUGUCUUUCCAGGACGAGAGAUAGC
Bufo bufo (common toad) is the source of this 322-nucleotide long non-coding RNA. RefSeq lists it as uncharacterized. NCBI's taxonomy places the organism in Eukaryota, Metazoa, Chordata, Amphibia, Anura, Bufonidae. The record is from RefSeq and is a predicted model, not a curated record. The transcript has 5 exons.